CAGCAACAUCUCCUUUCUCUUGAGCUCCUCCCUAACUCCCUCAGCAAAAGAAAAAUCCAUCACUUGCUCCGUCCAGCCACCGCCGUGUCACCGUCUCCAUUGAAACUGCUCAAAACCGUCGUCCCCAUUACGGUUAUCUCGGCCACUACUCGAAACCACCGUCCCCACUGCAACUCAUCUCACAUCGUUCUUCUGUCGCGCAGUCGAUGUUCCGCCACGCUGGCUCUGUUCCAUCGGCUCCAGCCUUUUGGUUGCUGUAACUUCGUUACGCUCCACCCUUCUCUGCUCCUAGUUCUGCUGUGCACCACCCUCACCAGCUCCAGUUCUGCGGCGGUCCGGACCACCUCUUCUCCAGUUCUGCUGCGCCCAGCCUUCUAUCGUGCUCCCUCAUCUUUGUGCUCUAGAAGGUUGAUGUAUUCCUGUUACUGGCUAUGCUGUUGACAUUGCCCUCGUCGAGUUUUUGCCCAUUCAUGAGCUCUUCUCGUUUGUUCUUGGCACUGCUCUUGGAUCUUGAUCGUCAUGAGGCUACAAAAGUAAGGGAAUAACAUUCUAAGUCUUCAAGACUCGGGCUAAGCUAAACAUCAUCAAAAGGUAAAAUAUCACCCACUACUUCUCCACAUGAUCAUACAUCAUUACUGGACACCACACACACACACACACACACACACACACACAUCAGAGGAAUAUGCGUAAACAAGUAUGAUGCAUGUCUAUCAUAUGCAGGUCAUGAGUUCACGUGUCGAUUUACACCCUAUAAGCCGACAUUACCUAAGAACUAGUCUUAGAUAUUGAUGAGCGGAUAAUUUGUACGCUUUUUGGCAUUGUUUUUAGUAUGUUUUUAGUAUGAUCUAGUUAGUUUUUAAUAUAUCUUUUAUUAGUUUUUAGUUAAAAUUCACUUUUCUGGACUUUACUAUGAGUUUGUGUGUUUUUCUGUGAUUUCAGGUAUUUUCUGGCUGAAAUUGAAGGUUUUGAGCAAAAAUCUGAUUCAGAGACUGAAAAGGACUGCAGAUGCUGUUGGAUUCUGACCUCCCUGCACUCGAAGUGGAUUUUCUGGAGCUACAGAAGCCCAAUUGGCGCGCUCUCAACGGCGUUGGAAAGUAGACAUCCUGGGCUUUCCAGCAAUAUAUGAUAGUCCAUACUUUGCCCAAGAUUUGAUGGCCCAAACCGGCGUUCAAAGUCACCUCAAGAAAUUCCAGCGUUAAACGCCGGAACUGGCACCUAAAUGGGAGUUAAACGCCCAAACUGGCAUAAAAGCUGGCGUUUAACUCCAAGACAAGUCUCUACACGAAAAUGCUUUAUUGCUCAGCCCAAGCACACACCAAGUGGGCCCGGAAGUGGAUUUUUAUGUCAUUUACUCAUCUUUGUACACCUUAGGCUACUAGUUUUCUAUAAGUAGGACCUUUUACUAUUGUAUUUGACAUCUUGGUAGCUAUCUUCUAAUUUUAUGCUAUCUUAGAUCAUUUGGGAGGCUGGCCAUUCGGCCAUGCCUAGACCUUGUUCUUAUGUAUUUUCAACGGUGGAGUUUCUACACACCAUAGAUUAAGGUGUGGAGGUCUGCUGUACCUCGAGUAU
Arachis stenosperma is the source of this 1572-nucleotide long non-coding RNA. RefSeq lists it as uncharacterized. Lineage: Eukaryota; Viridiplantae; Streptophyta; Magnoliopsida; Fabales; Fabaceae. The record is from RefSeq and is a predicted model, not a curated record. The transcript has 3 exons.